UACAAUGAUGAGAACAUAUUUUUACACAGACCUGUACUGAUUAUUACAUGCAGAUAAACGAAUAUUGCCUUUUUUUUCUGAUU
This 83-nucleotide small nucleolar RNA is filed under the name Lachancea lanzarotensis. RNAcentral describes it as "Small nucleolar RNA snR56". It matches the Rfam family "Small nucleolar RNA snR56". The record is from Rfam by way of RNAcentral. Lineage: Eukaryota; Fungi; Ascomycota; Saccharomycetes; Saccharomycetales; Saccharomycetaceae.